This is a non-coding RNA of Trichobilharzia regenti, 46 nucleotides long. Lineage: Eukaryota; Metazoa; Platyhelminthes; Trematoda; Strigeidida; Schistosomatidae. The record is from Rfam.
GUACUGUUGGAGAGUCCCAAACCAGGACGAAACAGCUGUCCAGUAC